Molecule: long non-coding RNA, 10201 nt
Filed under: Gallus gallus (chicken)
Lineage: Eukaryota; Metazoa; Chordata; Aves; Galliformes; Phasianidae
Description: lncRNA (ENSGALG00010016316.1)
Source: RNAcentral
UUAGGAAAUACUACUUCUCUGAAAGAGUGGUCAGGCACUGGAAUGGGCUGCCCAGAGAGUUGGUGGAGUCACCGACCCUGGAGGUGUUCAAGGAAUGUUUGGAUGCUGUGAUGAGGGACAUGGUUUAGUGAGAAGUAUUGGUGAUGGGUGGAUGGUUGGACUGGGUGAUCCUGUGGGUCUUUUCCAACCUUGGUGAUUCCAUGAUUAUAUGAUCUGAAUUUAAAUAUAAAUACUUUUCCUAAUGCUAUCACAGGAUCACUGGUACUAAAAUUCUUAAUAUCAGUGCAUGUGUUUGUAAGAUUUUAGUUUGUAUCUUAAGUAUUUUGACACUUUAAUUAUUACACACAUAGAGAAACCUAAAAUGAAGUAAUAAUUCUGCUAUAGUUGUUCAAAGAAAGAAAUUCUAGUUUGGUAGCAAUUUUCAUUUUCUUCCCAACCUAAUCAAGUCUCAUAAAAUCAUACUGUCUUAGAAAAUGUAUAACCAUGAUGAAGUCCUUUUUGUUCAUUUUGAUAGAGAAGAUCUUCAUAAAGCCCAAAACGCACACAAGGAAGGCAUAAAAAAAUCCUGAAAGCUGUAUUUUCAGCUUUCAUUGUGGGGAAUCUAGGUCUGUAUACAUCAUUAUCAACAAAAGAUUUUUACUACUGGCUUGUUGUCCAUGGAGAAAUGAAAUCAAAGAAAUUCUCUACUAUGGCAGUAGACAAGGCAGAAGAGCAGACCCCAUAUUAAUUCUGCUUGCUCUUUAAUUUCAGGAAGUCUGAGGCUUAUGGACAUGUUCAGGCAGGAGCUUUGUGUGAUCUCAGAGUAGCUGAAGGGCAUCAGAUGCCCUAUUUCUGCCACUAAGACGCGCCUCAGCAGACAAGUAACAGAUUAUAAAACUCAGACAGGAUUUUUCAGUCAUGCAUUUUUACUGUAUCCAUAAACCAACCACAUGAUUUUAAAGAGCAUAAAAAUCCCUUGUACCAGAGGAUUUUGAAGCAUAGAUAAUACUGUAGAAACUUGCUGUACUGCCAUUUUUACACAAAUAAUUGGGCAUAGAGUUGUACGUUGUACAGAAGAAAAAAAAAUAUCGCAUACUACCACACUGGAUGUAUAAUAUCAGGUUAAAAUUGUAAUAACCCAUCUCUGUCUUUACUGAAAUUGAAAACAAAAAAAUACUGUUUGAGAUGAAAAAAAAAAAAAAAGAAAGAAAAAGAAAAAAAAAAAGAAAUUGAACACCUGCAAUACAUUAUUGGGUUAUAUUGUAGCUGGUAUGUCUGCAAUUUGAAUUCUCUUUCUGUUCCACUUCAUAUUCAUUGCUGUGUAAAUCAAGUCUGUUUGCUAAGAUGAGGACCUUCCAUUUUGUGUUGUUUUAUUCUAAAAAAUCUGGUUGCGUACUUACCAUUCCCUGCAACUUCUUACAAAAUACAGCCAUUUCUUCUGUCUUACUUUCUCUCUUUCUUCCAAAUGGAUAAUUGCAUUGUUGAUGACUUGCAAAAAUUCUUGAUUUAUAUCUGUAAACUGUAAUCUGUCCAUUUGGGUGAUGAAGACUGAGAGAUGUAGGAAGCAUAGAGAUCAGGGAUGUGUGUACAUUCCCUUGGUUGUGGUCUGAUUCUAGCUGGGCUGCAGCCCUGAGAGAGAAAGGUGUGACAUGCUUGGAAGAUGAUCUCAGAGUGGAAAACAAUUUGCUUAUGGGCAAGGGCAAUUAUAACUACAGAGAAAGCAGAUAUGGGAUCAGUGGGCAUAAAGGAUGCUUUUGCUGUUAGUGCUCCUGGCGUUAUCAGUGAAGGUAGUUUGUGCAACUAGGUGUUCUGUGAUCUACUGUAGUGUUAGAAGCUUGUGUCAUAUCCUGUUUGCUGCUGAGGAGGGAAUUGUUUCAUAAGUUGAUCUAAGACUUUAUUAAGCAGUGUAUUUCUCCUUUCUUCCUCUUCCCAUAAACUAGUACAUUUUGUUUCCACAACUGAAAAGAAAGCUAGAUGACUUGUUUUAUGAAGAACAAAUAUUGAUGCUCUUUGCAUAUUUCUAAAAAAAAAAUCUUUUUUUUAAAGUUUCCCAAGAAAAUUGAUUUCUAACUAGUAAUGGUUUAAUUAAUCAGAUAUGCCAUAUCUCUCCUGUUCCUUCUCUUUUUCUCUCUUUAUCUCUGCAGUGCUAAAUUUGCUGCAGUAUAUGUGGUCAUUUACUCUUGCUAUUAAAAGAAUAAUGACAUUAUUUCAAUUGAUUAUUAAAAAAAUUGUAGGGAUUGUUUCAUUCAUUUUCUACUUUCUCAUCUUGUGUUCCUGGCAUUUACAAAAACAAUAGCAUUAGUGAAAAUUUACUUUUUAAUUAUUACUGCAUCUGUUCCUUUUUACUGACUGAUGUGGCAAAGGAGUCAGUCCUGCUGUUGCGACUGAUCACUUGCCAUAGCAAUUUAAUUUCUGUGAAGUUUGGAGGGGGAACUGAAAUGAACAAACUUAUUCUGUAUUGUUUUUGGAAGUCUUUUCAGUCUUGAAGAAGUACCUUUUAUUUUGUUGUGCAUAAUUAAUGCAUCAAGCCACUUCACACAUAGGACAUGACUCUACCUACAUUUGAGUGCAUUUGAACUCAUGCCUUUCUUAAAAGAUCCCUAUUAUAACAGUGUAUUUUACUAAUGUGUGACAGUUCACUUUAGAUUGUUGCUGACAUGCUCGGGCAGUGUUUUUCUUGGUCAGUAAUUUAGCUGUGAGUCAGGAGCUCGGACCCAUAUGGCUUGAACAAAAAAGCUAGUGAGCAUUUACAGCAAGAUUGCUUUUUAGUUACUUAGGAAUACACUAAGCUAAGGUUUUCACUUUCUGUUAUGAAUUGUUUCUUUUUCUUUCUUUUUUUGGUAUAUUUUUUGAGGGUUUCUUAUGUCUGAUUUUUUUUUCUAAACCUUUUUUACACUUGCUUUAUUUAUUCUAUAGCUAUUUAUUCUUAACCAAAGACAUACAUUCAGAUAUAUGACAAAGAUUUUUUGAUGGAAGAAAAUCAUAUGAAGGCUCUGUUAUGGCAGCUGUUUCUGUUUUUAUCCUAUAAGUUUAACUCCCACAUCCUAGCCAAGAUGGAACUUAUACCUGUAUAGUCCCUGCUCAAAACACUGUCCUGUUUCACCUGAAAGUAGCUACAAUCUGCAGCCUGUGUGACAGGAGCUGGAAUGUGGCAGAUACAGAAGCACAGACAAGAUUAUAAACUCUGUCUUAGGCUCUCUCUUACUUAUGCUCCCUCUUUACUAGCAUUACAGUGCAUAAUACCUAGUCUGCUGUCCUCUCAGGUCUUCCCUGACCCAUAUGAGCAAAACUGUUGAUAUUUUGAGUUUUAUGAAAUUUGAAAAUAAGGAUGGAACACACAAAAAGACAAAUUCUGAACAUUUUAAGGAAAACAUGUUGUUUAGCAUAGAUACUCUUUAAUGCAAGGAUUUUUGAAGGAAAUCUUUAACAUAUUCCACCUUUUCCCCAAAUGUAUUCUACUAAGGGAAUAACUAUAAGCUAUUUGUUGGAAACAUCUGUUCUGUGUCUGUGAUGAGAGCCCAGAUUCCAUCAGAAUAUGACUUUGAACAUCCAGUGUUCAUAGCAGGUCUGGCAGGACAUUUUGUAUAUUCAUUAAACAGCAGUUGUAAAUAUUCACUGAUGUGCCUGUGUCAUGCCAGAGAGCAGUACAUCUCUCCUUCUAUGCUUGUAAAACCUACGAUGCUUGGGUGAGCAGGCACAUACAUUUAAUUUGUUUGUUUUUUGAACAAAGAUAAGAAUGAAGAUAAAGAAUGUUUCUACCCCAGGAAACAUCACAUGUAGUUAUGCCAUUAAAAAUACUUUCUUCCAAGAAGAUAAAUAACUCUUUAUCAUCUAAACCAGAUACUUUCAUUUUUCAAUUGACUCUAUUGUAUACCUGGAAGACUACUUAGAAGCACAAAUGCAGAUUAUUUUUCCAUUCUCACUGAAAACCCAAAUUUAAGCUCAACUACUACUUCACUGUGAGAAAUUAGUUUCCUUUUUUCCUUCUGUACUAACAUCCAAAAAAUACCACGAUUGCCAUGUUAGGACUAAAGUAUGCAUUUGCCAGAAACUUCCUAUACUAGAGCAGUUGAACUUAGUUAUUCAGGUCAUAUAAUAUUUUUUGACCCCAUGUUCUUCAGUUGUCUUUGUGCAUGUCAUACCGACCACAGAUGAGAAUACCAUGCUGCCAAACUGGUUAUUUCCCUUCACUGAAUUGUUAUUUAAUUGGAACUCAGAAACAGUGAGAUAGAAUACAAUGUAUUACAAUGUUAAAGGGUUUGGAAUACCAAAUAGCACUACAUCAGCGUAUCCUGGAGGAUCAGGAUGACAGCAGCAAACCAGAAAGGACUGAUUUAAACACUAUUGCAAAGCACACUUUGCAGCCCAUCACUGAGUUUGCAGGGCUUAUUUGCAAAUCUGGCUGUGUCUCUUAGAAAAGGCGUGCUGUGUCUGUUAUUGAUUUCUAUGGCUUUUUAAUCACAACUAAAGGUUGCCAUAUAAGUAUGUUUUCCUAUGGGAACAGAAAAAAAAAAGAGACAUAAGUCUGAUCUUGUACUAUUUAAGAGAAGGUAUUAGAUAUAAAAGAGAUUUGCCUGUACCAAGUACUGAAUCUCACUCUGAUAAUGAGGGAAAAGUGCAUUAAAAAUAUGACCACAGGGCUUCAGAUGGUGUGAGUGAUAAAAAUUCAGUGCAACAUUGAGCCUUCUGUAGUAUAACGUUUAAAAAAAAUGCAUUUCUGAUGACAGCAGCUUAGAAAUCACUCUUCUGGGUUGUAAAGAAGCCACUCAAACAAGAACAGUGAAAUAGGUGUGGAGGUAAAGUAGUUGCAGGUGGAAAGGUAAAACAGCAGAGUGGGUAAUGACUGAGUACCUACAAUAAUACAGAAAGUCCUGAAGAAAUCUGAGUGCACUGUGUGCAUGUGAGGAAGAGUUUGAAACUGUCCUGAAGAGACCUCAGUUUUCAUACUAGAUUUCAGUGUUGCACUUCUAAUAAUUUUACUCUCAUUCCACUCUAUCCAUUCUGUCCUCUUCUGCAAAAUUUACAGACUCGUGAUUUCUUUUCUGGUAUUUGAUGUACAUGAUUAUCAGUGGAAUGAAGUUAAGGUUCACUCUCUUGCAUUGUUCUUAAUGAUUUACAUCUCAUGUACUCACUGUACUUUCUCCAACAUGUGAGUGGAGAGUAUGAGAAUCUUUUUUCCUUGCUGUAAGAAGUUUUAUCACUCUUUAAAAAAACCCCAACUUCAAGGAGUUCGCCUUCUGAGACACCUGCUUCCUGUCCCCAGAGUAAUUUUGUGCCAAGAGCACAAAGAAUAAAGUCUUACUGAUAGAACCUUGUUUCCGAGUGGUCUUUUCAAAGUGGCUCCAGUUUCUGCUGUGUAGAAGAUGAUUUGACAAAGUAGUAAUAGUCAGUAUUGUGGGAAGCCCCAUAGGAGGGACAUCUGAAUCACAAUAUUAAACAAACACAGAGGAGGAAGGAAUGUAGGUAAUCCAUUUCCCAGGAGAUGCUUCUGCAGCUGUUUUUGUUUUCCAGUGUGGGAGCCAGAAACAAUAUUUCCAUUUGGCUUUAUUAAAGUACACUGAAUUUUUUCUUCACAGAUGUUCCCACUAUUUCAAUGACAUGCUGGGAGAGGAAAAUUGUAGCAAAAUUUUCUUGCAGUGUUCAUGGAAUCAUACAAUCACAGAAUGGUUUGGGUUGAAAGGGACCCCAAAGAUCUUCAAGAUCUAACUCCCUGCCACAGACAGGGUUGCCAGCUGCUAGAUCAAGUACUGGAUCUGGUUGCACAGGGCCCCAUCCAGCCUGGCCUUAAACACCUCCAGGGACAGGGCAUCCACAGCUUCUCUGGGCAACCUGUUCAAGCACCUCACCACUUUCUCAGUAAAGAACUUCCCUUGACAUCUAUUCUGAAUCUCCUUUUAGUUUAAAACCAUUACCCCUUGUCCUAUCACCAUCUACCCAUGUAAAAAGUUGAUUUACCUCAUGCUUAUAAACUUCCUUUAAAUACUGGAAGGCUGCAAUGAGGUCUCCCUGCAGCCUUCUCUUCUCCAGACUGAACUGGAGAAGUUCAGCCUAUUUUCCCUUCCCCUUCACUUCAUCUAAAAAAAUUAUGAAGCUUUAAAAUGUUUUCCAUUAAAAACAAACAAAGAAACAAAAAAACCCAAAGAAUUAGCCAAUUUAUUAUAAAAAGGAUAAUCUCAAACUUAUCAAGUUUCUAUUAAGCUGUACCCAGUGAAAGAGAAGGUUAUAGCUAAAUGACUUACUACUUAUGGGAGAUGACAUGUUUUGCAAUGUUUCUUCCCUUGCUUAUGUUAGAGAUCAUGGUGCUUAUGAACCUCACAGAAACACAAAAUUUGUGGUAUGUUUACUUAUUUAAUACACAGUAGAGCUGCCAGAAAAUUUGGAACGUGAAUUAUUUUGUUUUGUUUUUAUUGUAAUGUCAUGUUGUUCCUAAAAAAACCUGUAACUGCUCCGCAUAGUAGCAGAAUCUUAUCACACCGUUGCACAGCAUCCUCAUGUGUGCCAUAGGGAAUAAAUAAGUUACAGAGAGAACCUGAUGGGAAGAUGUCUCAGUACAGAAAAACAGACGUAUCUGAGAACAGGAAAAAAUCAAUUUGAAGAACUGAAACUAAAACAAAAAAUGCCUUCUAAACAAUGUAUGCCAUUACAGGGAGAUAACUUCCCUUCUUCAUUCAUGCAUAGAGUUGAAUUAAUUUUCAUUUUAUUUUUUUCUUACUCUCUCUUCUCCUCGGUGAUAUAUUUGCAGUCAACAGAAUUUCCGUUUGCAGAUAGGGGUAUUUGUAAGAUAAAUCAUGUUCAUUUUCAUUUCACUGUUUCAAGACAAUUACAUCAGAGAAUGAUUUUAAGCAACAACAAAAACAAAUAGACAAAUAAUAAUAAUUAAAACAAACAAACAAAAAAAACAAAAAACAACUGAGGAGCCAACACAAACAGCUAGUGGGAAUGAUUGAUUGUUACUUAAAAGUUUAAGUCAGUUUAUGUAGAGGAAGAUCCCACAAGCAUGAUGAGAUUAUGAUUCAAAUUAAGAAUAGAUAGCCGUAUCUGAAUUGUAUGACUAAUUUAUCACAUUUGAUGAUAUUACAGUUGAUAAUUUCAGACUCAAAACUCUGCUUUAUGUGCAUCGAAAAAGGAGCAUUACUAUUUUUGCGUUACUGCACUGUAGACUGAGACAAAACUCUAGUCUGCAGCCAGAAGUUUAUGACCCUUCUCUUGCUGAAGAAAUAAUGCAGUCAUCUGGAUUAGCCGUAAUUAUCAUUUAGGCCUUUUGAAAGCAGCACAGUUAAGAUCAUCAGAAGCAACUAGUGAUUUGCAUAACUUUGUGUUUGCCAGCCACUCAAAGCAUGCACAUACAUACUGCUGGUGCAGCUUCUUGCAAAGAUUCUGAAUUCAGUCUUUACUGUGUUUGAGAUUUUAGUCUAAACUGAGUUGAACAGAGAGCAAUUUCAAGGUAAAACACAAUUUUACCUUCAUGGUAAUAAGUACAUUAAAGUUUUCAGGGUCCAUUAUACAGUUUUAUGGUUGGAAACAUCCAAAUAAUUUAUCAGGAUGUGAUAUAAUAGAUGUGGAAUGUGUUUCUUUAAAAUUGUUUUAAAAAAGGAAGCUGUUAUUCAAACCUUGCUGAACUGCAUAAGGAAGAUAACGGCUGUAAAUCUUGGGAAGAUAAGGCUGAAAGGACUGCAUCUGGCCAGGAUGCUCUAUUCCUGAAAAGAAUGUAACAGAUUAACCACAAAGACAGUCAGCAAUUAGGCUUAAGUCAGACCAAAGGGUGAAAAAGGACAAGAAGAAGAAGACUCUGAGCCUUCAUCUUACGAUCCCAAAGACCAUCACCACAAUUCAGGACUCAUGCUAAAAGGGGCUGGGCUAUGGGUGGAGAAUAUGAUAAUAAUCUCUUGGAAGUAAUUAUGAUAUAUCUCCUAUUCAUGGCAUAUGUAUGACUUGUCUCUAUAAAUGUUCUUAACCUCUACCUCAUGGUGUGCAAGCUAGAGAGGGGUUACCUCAUUUGCACCCAGCGUGUAUGUGCAGUGCUGAUUAAAUCACAUUAAAUCACACACAGUUUAUAGCUACUUUGUGGUUAUAGAGUUUGAUUCCACAAGUCAGAUGAUAUCUCUGAUAAAAGUGGAUUUUAUUUGUGAUUGCAAUGGCAGGAGUGCGCUUGCAGAGACGGUGUUACAUCUUUUAUGCCCUAUUACCCAGUGUUUAUCUUUUCCUCCCCUGGUUCCUCAUUUGAGGAAGUAUAUAGCGGCAGCUUUAUGAAUGGCAGAUUAGGGAAGUUUCUAAGGAACCAAGAAGGGAUUAGUGCAUCCUCUGUCAGAGACAGUAAUUAAAUACCAGAUAUCCACAUCAUAGUUUUCUGCUACCAUAAAAUGCAGACUCACAGCAUCUGUCUUUUUUAUCUUAAGUUUGGAAAGAAACACUUUCUCUUCAGUUGUGUAAAUAAGGUACUAACUGCCACACUACUAACUAGAUUUUAAACAGGGAAUGGAGGGUGGAGGAGUCAUUAUCUGGUAAAAUAAUGCCAAGUGCAUAACUAUCCUUGCUUGAUAUUUAUUAUACUGCCAUCAUUAAUAUUUCUUCUCUCAAAAUUAUUCCCAGACUUGAUUCACGUGUUCAUUAAUGUCACAUUUAUUUUUUAUGUGAAAGAAUAAAAGCAAUCGCCAUAGACCACUUACAGUUCAGGAGCACGAAGUACAAGUUUAAAUCAUACGUGCUUCAUGAAUGUACAAUACCUCUUUUAACAUAUUUGCAGUCACGUAAGAAACAACUUUAAUCACUAAAAUAAACUCAUCAAUGUCCUCACUUCUGUUGAAAUCAUGAAUUUGGGCCAUCAUUCUCAGUGUGUAGGUGGUAAAACUUAGUCAUUCAGUCUGGAAGCUGUAGAAGUACCCUGCCUCUUUCCAUAUGAAUCCCUAUUCUGCUUUGUGCCUGUCCAGUGUGUUGGCAAUUUCUUUUAAUAAGGACUGAGGAACAGUCUGUCUCAUUUACAGACUCAGUAAGUCAUAGGUUUCAUUACUCUGCCUUUUGUGAUAUACUUGGCACUCUAAAAGAUAUUGCUAACUAGAUGAUAGUUCAGUAGCCAGCCCUUCUGAUUUACUAGGAUUUUCAUUAAGAAGAUUUACGUACAGGACUAAAUUUCCUUGCUAUGUAAGACAGAAAUGUUAAGAGACAAAGCCUUUAUGAAAAGCAAAAAACUGACAAUUACAAAGUCAACAUAGAAUUUGAUUAGUGAUAGAAAAACUCGAAAACUGAACAGUUCACAGUCCUUACUUGUGUGGGAAUCAAAUGUUGUUUCUGCAUUAGAAUUAGAUAAGAAUUUUUAAUUUCAUGGUCUCCGCUGCCAUAGUUCUUCUUGGGAGUCUUUCUACUAUACUUGGGGGUGGUCUCUGCUAGUUUGCAUCACUUACCUUCUAGGUGAACCUUCCCCAGGAAUGCAUGCUCAGUAUAUAUGCUGAAGUAUAUAUGUAAUUUUUUGUCAUAUACAUUGCAAGAAUAUCCUGCACAAGAUUGAUCAAACCAGAUAAUAAGUGAUGACAUGCCCAAGGAAGCGCCUGAAGAGACAUUGGGAAGUCCUGGCAUCCUCUUACCCCCUGGUACUCUUUGUUUAAUGAAGACUUUGAAGAAAAUCACCGUAUGAGUACGAUAGGAAGAGUACUGAGGCAUCUUGGAAACAACAGCAUGGCUACUGACUGACACCAGAUAACACAAGAAUUAACGAAUGUAAACCUUUGAUAAAACUGUGAACCUGGAGUACCCAGCCAAUGGGGAAACAGGGGAGGGAAUAGGCAAAGGGGGGAAACAAGGUACAAAAGCUGUCACUGUGUACUUAGGGGCACUUCUGCUUGUGGGAGGCCCGCCAUUGCAAUCACAAAUAAAAUUUGCUUUUAUCGGGGAUACCGUCCUGACAAAAUUAUUUGGAUAUUUCCAACAGUUGGAGGAAGAUAAAUUCUAAAAUCUUUGUCAGUUGUUUACCAUGGGUGCUCUGAGAAGUUUAUUCUGUAGAAAGUGGGGUGGCUAUGAUGUCAAAAAUUUUAAGUGUUAAUUUGCUAAAAGGUAAAGUAAAUAAACAAUUUGAAACUGUUAUCAGAGAUAUCAGUGACCUUGCAUGUGAAUAACAAAAUAAAAAAAACUGAGAAAGAUACUUUAGUAGAGAAAGAGUGAUUAAAAGGGAAGGCCCGAUAAUAGUUCUCACUGAUCAGAAAAUAUCUGAACUUUAAAUAAAUAGUCUUUC